AGCAUGUGGUUUAAUUCGAUGCAACGCGAAGAACCUUACCUACUCUUGACAUCCAGAGAAUUCGCUAGAGAUAGCUUAGUGCCUUCGGGAACUCUGAGACAGGUGCUGCAUGGCUGUCGUCAGCUCGUGUUGUGAAAUGUUGGGUUAAGUCCCGCAACGAGCGCAACCCUUAUCCUUUGUUGCCAGCACGUAAUGGUGGGAACUCAAAGGAGACUGCCGGUGAUAAACCGG
This 231-nucleotide ribosomal RNA is filed under the name Serratia liquefaciens. RNAcentral describes it as "partial 16S ribosomal RNA". It matches the Rfam family "Bacterial small subunit ribosomal RNA", at positions 936 to 1166 of the family's 1533-position model. Lineage: Bacteria; Pseudomonadati; Pseudomonadota; Gammaproteobacteria; Enterobacterales; Yersiniaceae. The record is from RNAcentral.